UACAGAGACUGCAAGCGUUAUUCGGAUUCACUGGGCGUAAAGGGUGCGCAGGCGGCCGUGUGUGUUAGGCGUGAAAGCCCGAGGCUCAACCUCGGAAUUGCACCUAAAACUACACGGCUAGAGUACUGGAGAGGGUAGCGGAAUUCAUGGUGUAGCAGUGAAAUGCGUAGAUAUCAUGAGGAACACCAAUGGCGAAGGCAGCUACCUGGACAGUUACUGACGCUCAGGCACGAAAGCGUGGGGAGCAAAAGGG
RNAcentral lists this ribosomal RNA (253 nucleotides) under uncultured bacterium. RNAcentral's name for it is "partial 16S ribosomal RNA". It matches the Rfam family "Bacterial small subunit ribosomal RNA", at positions 524 to 776 of the family's 1533-position model. The record is from RNAcentral.